UUUGGCUGAAUGGAUUAAAAUUGGGCCUUGGGGUUUGGUCAACUAGACUAAUUUUUGUUGCUAGAUGUUGUCUGGAUGUGUGAAGUUGUUGCAAGGGCUGAUUUCAAUUGGCCCGACACUGAAAUUGCAUUUGGGCCGCUGAUGGAGAUGCAACAUUGGUCGGGGUGUUGUUCCCUACACCUCCCCAAGUGGAACCUGUACCUCCCCAUUAAUUUAAUUUAUUUCAAAAAUAUUCUACACCUCCUCACUAUUUUCUUUUAUUCCAAAAAUACCCUACACCU
RNAcentral lists this long non-coding RNA (281 nucleotides) under Vigna radiata. RNAcentral's name for it is "long non-coding RNA (VRAD_LNC008115)". Lineage: Eukaryota; Viridiplantae; Streptophyta; Magnoliopsida; Fabales; Fabaceae. The record is from RNAcentral.